Molecule: ribosomal RNA, 296 nt
Filed under: uncultured cyanobacterium
Lineage: Bacteria; Bacillati; Cyanobacteriota
Description: partial 16S ribosomal RNA
Rfam family: Bacterial small subunit ribosomal RNA
Source: RNAcentral
GAUGAACGCUGGCGGUCUGCUUAACACAUGCAAGUCGAACGGACCCUUCGGGGUUAGUGGCGGACGGGUGAGUAACACGUGGGAACCUACCUAUCGGUACGGAAUAACAGAGGGAAACGGUGGCUAAUACCGGAUGAGCCGAAAGGUAAAGAUUUAUUGCCCACAGAUGAGCUCGCGUCUGAUUAGCUAGUUGGUAAGGUAAAGCGUACCAAGGCGACGAUCAGUAGCUGGUCUGAGAGGAUGAGCAGCCACACUGGGACUGAGACACGGCCCAGACUCCUACGGGAGGCAGCAGU